This 468-nucleotide ribosomal RNA is filed under the name uncultured bacterium. RNAcentral describes it as "partial 16S ribosomal RNA". It matches the Rfam family "Bacterial small subunit ribosomal RNA", at positions 28 to 507 of the family's 1533-position model. The record is from RNAcentral.
GACGAACGCUGGCGGCGUGCUUAACACAUGCAAGUCGAACGGACAGGCCCUGCUUUUGUUGGGUGCUCGAGUGGCGAACGGGUGAGUAACACGUGAGUAACCUGCCCUUGACUUUGGGAUAACUUCAGGAAACUGGGGCUAAUACCGGAUAGGAGCUCCUGCUGCAUGGUGGGGGUUGGAAAGUUUCGGCGGUUGGGGAUGGACUCGCGGCUUAUCAGCUUGUUGGUGGGGUAGUGGCUUACCAAGGCUUUGACGGGUAGCCGGCCUGAGAGGGUGACCGGCCACAUUGGGACUGAGAUACGGCCCAGACUCCUACGGGAGGCAGCAGUGGGGAAUAUUGCACAAUGGGCGGAAGCCUGAUGCAGCAACGCCGCGUGCGGGAUGACGGCCUUCGGGUUGUAAACCGCUUUCGCCUGUGACGAAGCGUGAGUGACGGUAAUGGGUAAAGAAGCACCGGCUAACUACGUG